AGAAUCAACGCUGGCGGCGUGCCUAACACAUGCAAGUCGAACGAGAAAGUGGAGCAAUCCAUGAGUAAAGUGGCGCACGGGUGAGUAACACGUGACUAACCUACCCUUGAGUGGGGGAUAACCUCGGGAAAACCGGGGCUAAUACCGCAUAAUAUCGAGAGAUCAAAGGAGCAAUUCGCUUAAGGAGGGGGUCGCGGCUGAUUAGCUAGUUGGUAGGGUAAUGGCCUACCAAGGCUAUGAUCAGUAUCCGGCCUGAGAGGGCGCACGGACACACUGGAACUGAAACACGGUCCAGACUCCUACGGGAGGCAGCAGUGGGGAAUUUUGCGCAAUGGGGGAAACCCUGACGCAGCAACGCCGCGUGGAGGAUGAAGUCCCUUGGGACGUAAACUCUUUCGAUCGGGACGAUAAUGACGGUACCGGAAGAAGAAGCCCGGCUAACUUCGCGCCAGCAGCCGC
This 459-nucleotide ribosomal RNA is filed under the name uncultured bacterium. RNAcentral's name for it is "SSU rRNA". It matches the Rfam family "Bacterial small subunit ribosomal RNA", at positions 26 to 518 of the family's 1533-position model. The record is from RNAcentral.